AUUGAACGCUGGCGGCAGGCCUAACACAUGCAAGUCGAGCGGAUGAAGGGAGCUUGCUCCUGGAUUCAGCGGCGGACGGGUGUGUAAUGCCUAGGAAUCUGCCUGGUAGUGUGGGAUAACGUCCGGAAACGGGCGCUAAUACCGCCUACGUCCUGAGGGAGAAAGUGGGGGAUCUUCGGACCUCACGCUAUCAGAUGAGCCUAGGUCGGAUUAGCUAGUUGGUGGGGUAACGGCCUACCAAGGCGACGAUCCGUAACUGGUCUGAGAGGAUGAUCAGUCACACUGGAACUGAGACACGGUCCAGACUCCUACGGGAGGCAGCAGUGGGGAAUAUUGGACCAUGGGCGAAAGCCUGAUCCAGCCAUGCCGCGUGUGUGAAGAAGGUCUUCGGAUUGUAAAGCACUUUACGUUGGGAGGAAGGGCAGUAAGUUACUACUUGGCUGUUUUGACCUUACCAACAGAAGAAGCACCGGCUAACUUCGUG
This 484-nucleotide ribosomal RNA is filed under the name uncultured bacterium. RNAcentral describes it as "partial 16S ribosomal RNA". It matches the Rfam family "Bacterial small subunit ribosomal RNA", at positions 30 to 507 of the family's 1533-position model. The record is from RNAcentral.